AGGACGAACGCUGGCGGCGUGCUUAACACAUGCAAGUGGAGCGACGAACCAGGGCUUGCCCUGGGGCAGAGCCGCGAACGGGUGAGUAACACGUGGGUUACCUGCCUCGAUGACCGGGACAACCCGAGGAAACUCGGGCUAAUACCGGAUGUGCCCGCAAGGGGAAAGGAAGCUUCGGCCUCCGCAUCGAGAUGGGCCCGCGGCCCAUUAGCUUGUUGGUGAGGUAACGGCUCACCAAGGCUUCGAUGGGUAGCUGGUCUGAGAGGACGAUCAGCCACACUGGGACUGAGACACGGCCCAGACUCCUACGGGAGGCAGCAGUGGGGAAUCUUGCGCAAUGCGCGAAAGCGUGACGCAGCAACGCCGCGUGGGGGAAGAAGGCUUUCGGGUUGUAAACCCUUUCAGUUGGGACGAAGCUUCUCCGGUGAAUAGCCGGAUGGAGUGACGGUACCUUCACAAGAAGCACCGGCUAACUACGUGCCAGCAGCCGCGGU
RNAcentral lists this ribosomal RNA (494 nucleotides) under uncultured bacterium. Its description in RNAcentral is "SSU rRNA". It matches the Rfam family "Bacterial small subunit ribosomal RNA", at positions 26 to 521 of the family's 1533-position model. The record is from RNAcentral.